CCCUUUCUUCUUCAUCUUGCCCUCAGCUGGUGGCCGGCUGUCCCGGGCCACUCUCCACCGUUGCUCCCUCCUUGCGCUGACAUUUUUCUUGUUUUCUGCUGGUGAUGGAGAUCAAAGAGAGGGAGGAGAACGUGGAGGGGUUGAUCAAUGAUUGGGAGGAGGAAAGAGAUGCUGUUGCGAGAGAAAGAGAGAGAAAAGGAGAAGAGAAAGAAGAAUCUGAUUUGCUUUGUCCAGAGAUGCUUUGACGGUUUUCUACAUGACCGUGUAAGUAUCGUAUUGACUUUAUUUAUGAUCAUGCAUGCGAGAUAUUAACUAAACCGGCUUUGCAUAUCAAAGAUUUGGUACCCGAAUUGUAUAUUAAAAAAUAUUUAGGGAAUGUGAUUUCCUUCUUUACCAAAAUAUAUAUACAUGAUGGUUUUAGAAAGUUGUUUAGAUUUGUUUACAGAACUUCGUCAUCAGCAUCAAAUCAUGUCUUUGUAAUAGCAAGUUGCAAAAGUCAAACAAGUUUAGUUGAACGUGUUUGCAAUAUAUAUAUGUCGAUCAUCCUAGAGCAUAAGUAUAUAAAUUCAUUGCAUUUAGGUAUGUUCACAACAUGGAGGCAGAAGAGAUCAUCCAUCACAGUGGUGAGCAGAAUAGAAACUGACCAGCAGCUCCCUCCCUUUUCUCUUCUUUUUCUUAUGGAUCAGUUUAUAGGGUGAAUUAAGUCAAAUAGGAUUCAAAAUAGAGGAAAAAGAGAGGGAGUUGCUGGAUUGUCUUUUCAAGGAUGUUUUGGGAUUAAGCUAAACAGGGGACAUUGCUAGGGAAACACUAAAAUGGGGCACCUCACCAGAAAUGUCUAAAAAGAAAGAUUUUUUCUAGGAAUUCAUCCUUAAAUUUACCUACUUUCUACAACAGAAAAAGUCAAACUAGAAUCCAUCAUUAGAUGAGUGGAUCCACUUUAUUAUUCUGAGAGAAAUCUUUUGCAUUUGGAGUUGGACUUUCACCCAUCAUUGCUUAACAAUUAAGCAAGAUUGCAUUGUUGGUCUUAAGCAGAAAUGCUGUGGCUUCCAUCUGCUGAUGGCAAUAGCUUUUGGGUUGCUUUACAGUUAAGCAAGAUUAAGAUUGCACUGCUAAUGUAAUAGUGAUAUGGGUUCCAUGAACAAUGAAAUUACUGCUGGGUUGAUUAAUACUAGUGAUGCUAUGUGACCCCAAACUGUGGCUGGCACAGUUUCAAUUUUCAUAAACAUCUCAGAAAGUGAACUGGUAGUGAUCAGACACCCUAUUUCUUAUAAGAUUUUGUGUUAAUAACAACCGUUCUUUUUCCAUUUUCUCUGGUAAUUACAGAAAUUUGAGCUUGGAUGAGAUUCCUUGAGCACUCAGUAGACGUAAGCCUGUCAAAUUCACAUGACAUGAUAUAGUGAGCAUAAAAAGAGAGAUCAAGUUCAUGAGAUUUCUCUUAGUACAAGGUUAAAGAAGGAUGAACUAUUAUUAACGAGGUGCUAAUUUAAGAAUAUCGAUCUGAAAACCCUCAUUUUUGCUUCCUAAGGUAGUGAAAAAUUGGUGCUAUCAUUUGAUAGAUUUACUCAAAGCAGGAUGAUUAUGGUUUCUGUCAAGUAACUCAUGGAGCUGCCACUAUGAACAAGUCUGUCGAAACUAAUUGAUAAAGGCACAAAUUCUCUGGAUUCAAAGGCAGACUGUACUGUGAUGGACAAAUUUGAAUCACAGUAUAGAAUCUUGUCUUAGAAAAGUAUUAAUUAGCUCGUAUUGUAAUUGGAAUUCUCAUAAUCAUGGAUUGUGACUCCGAAACACUUCUGAAGUCCUGUCAAAUUUACACUGAAGAGAGGCAGUAUCAUAUCCAUGGAUUGGUGGGCUACAAUUGCUUGGAGCACUGACUUGUUAUUAAAUUUAGGGAUAGCGUGGAGACUAAUAAAAAGGAAGUAUCAAACAUUAAAAUCUGCAGUAAAGAUGGCCACCAAAAAAAGCAGUGGACCAAAGGCACUCAGAACACUGCAUCCUCUUAUCACCAUCCUUUAAUUGCCCUAUAACCAAUACUAUUCUAUGUUAUCACUUGUGCAAUUGGCAGAUUAACUUUCUAAAGUGAUCUCUCAGAUCAUAUCACUUGUGCAAAUGGCAGAUUAACUUUCUAAAGUGAUCUCUCAGAUCAAAUCCUCCUCUCCAAGCUAACAUCUUUCAUCACCAUUACAUGCUCAUCAAAAAGCAUGGGGAAAGGGCACACUACAUUCACAUACAGCAAUCCAAUUCCUUGAGGAGAUGGUUGUGUUUCCUCAGAUUUCUUUUCUCUUUUAUGAGUUCACUUUCUCUACUGCUUUGAUAGUAACUUGAAUUCAAGGUAAUUUUUUUCUCUUUUUUCUUUUGGAGAUAAUCUCCCUUGUCUGUAUGUCAAUGGAUAUGUUCUUUUUUAAUGGGAAAUUUGUAUAUGUAUUUUGCAUUCCAUCUGGUUAACAAAGUGCUUUGUCAUCAAA
This 2462-nucleotide long non-coding RNA is filed under the name Musa acuminata (dwarf banana). Its description in RNAcentral is "long non-coding RNA (MACU_LNC000901)". Lineage: Eukaryota; Viridiplantae; Streptophyta; Magnoliopsida; Zingiberales; Musaceae. The record is from RNAcentral.